CCUACGGGAGGCAGCAGUGAGGAAUAUUGGUCAAUGGUCGUAAGACUGAACCAGCCAAGUAGCGUGCAGGAUGACGGCCCUAUGGGUUGUAAACUGCUUUUAUACGGGGAUAAAAUGCGUCACGUGUGGUGUUUUGUAUGUACCGUAUGAAUAAGGACCGGCUAAUUCCGUGCCAGCAGCCGCGGUAAUACGGAGGGUCCGGGCGUUAUCCGGAUUUAUUGGGUUUAAAGGGAGCGUAGGCGGCCUGUUAAGCGUGCCGUGAAAUGUCGUGGCUCAACCAUGGCAUUGCAGUGCGAACUGGCUUGCUUGAGUGCGCGGGAGGUAUGCGGAAUUCGUGGUGUAGCGGUGAAAUGCUUAGAUAUCACGAAGAACUCCGAUUGCGAAGGCAGCUUACGGCAGCGCUACUGACGCUGAGGCUCGAAAGCGCGGGUAUCGAACAGGAUUAGAUACCCCUGUAGUC
This 460-nucleotide ribosomal RNA is filed under the name uncultured bacterium. RNAcentral describes it as "partial 16S ribosomal RNA". It matches the Rfam family "Bacterial small subunit ribosomal RNA", at positions 338 to 795 of the family's 1533-position model. The record is from RNAcentral.